This 443-nucleotide ribosomal RNA is filed under the name uncultured bacterium. RNAcentral's name for it is "partial 16S ribosomal RNA". It matches the Rfam family "Bacterial small subunit ribosomal RNA", at positions 338 to 795 of the family's 1533-position model. The record is from RNAcentral.
CCUACGGGAGGCAGCAGUGGGGAAUAUUGCACAAUGGGCGAAAGCCUGAUGCAGCAACGCCGCGUGAAGGAAGAAGGGUUUCGGCUCGUAAACUUCUAUCAACAGGGACGAAAGAAAUGACGGUACCUGAAUAAGAAGCCCCGGCUAACUACGUGCCAGCAGCCGCGGUACUACGUAGGGGGCAAGCGUUAUCCGGACUUACUGGGGGUAAAGAGUGAGUAGGCGGCAUGGUAAGCCAGAUGUGAAAGCCUUGGGCUUAACCCGGGAAUUGCAGCUGGUACUAGCAAGCUAGAGUACAGGGGAGGAGAGCAGAAUUCCGAGUGUAGCGGUGAAAUGCGUAGAGAUCAGGAAGAACACCAGUGGCGAAGGCGGCUUUCUGGACUGAAACUGACGCUGAGGCACGAAAGCGUGGGGAGCGAACAGGAUUAGAUACCCCUGUAGUC